UCGGGAAUUUUGGGCAAUGGGCGAAAGCCUGACCCAGCAACGCCGCGUGAAGGAUGAAGUAUUUCGGUAUGUAAACUUCGAAAGAAUAGGAAGAAUAAAUGACGGUACUAUUUAUAAGGUCCGGCUAACUACGUGCCAGCAGCCGCGGUAAUACGUAGGGACCAAGCGUUGUUCGGAUUUACUGGGCGUAAAGGGCGCGUAGGCGGCAAUUCAAGUCAUCUGUGAAAUCUCCCGGCUUAACUGGGAGAGGUCAAGGGAAACUGCCAGACUAGAGUGUGGUAGGGGAUACUGGAAUUCCUGGUGUAGCGGUGAAAUGCGUAGAUAUCAGGAGGAAUACCUAUGGCGAAAGCAGGUAUCUGGGCCAUCACUGACGCUGAGCUGCGAAAGCUAGGGGAGCAAACAGGAUUAGAUACCCCCGUAGUCCCUGAGCGGGCUGGCAAGGCGCAU
RNAcentral lists this ribosomal RNA (447 nucleotides) under uncultured bacterium. RNAcentral's name for it is "bacterial SSU rRNA". It matches the Rfam family "Bacterial small subunit ribosomal RNA", at positions 355 to 825 of the family's 1533-position model. The record is from RNAcentral.